CAUCUAUGAGUUUUCUAAGAGUGUCUCACAUCUAAAACUCUUUCUCCUAUCUCUCAUCUUUGGAAGAGUCCAAAUCAAGAAUAAGGAGGCAUCUGAUCGACCAUCGAAGAUAGAUCAGCACAGUACUAGCAUACUGUGCUGAUUUCCUAGACCAGGACUUCUGAUCGUGAUUCAUGGGCUCGUGUGGAUGACUCCUAGAGGUCAGACAUAUGUGUAGCUUGCAAUAUCAUCCUCAAGCCUGGAUCAGUAAAGUUAGAACAUUUAACUUGCAAGGUAAUAGAUCUGAUCUAUUA
RNAcentral lists this long non-coding RNA (293 nucleotides) under Elaeis guineensis (African oil palm). Its description in RNAcentral is "long non-coding RNA (EGUI_LNC040631)". The record is from RNAcentral. Lineage: Eukaryota; Viridiplantae; Streptophyta; Magnoliopsida; Arecales; Arecaceae.